CAUUCGUUAAGGUUUCAAGUAUAUUCAUAUACAGAAGCAUCAGAAAAUUAAAUUGUCGGUUCUGACCAAUAAAAAAGAGAAAAAAAAAUUGUCGGCAGAGAAAAGUGAUAAAUUUUCAAGUAGUCGCCUUCUAACAACCCAAUUCAUCUUGGGGGUCUGCUCUUGCUCCUAACCUUAUGCUUUCACACUUCAAUCUAUUUUGGCCUUCUAAUAUUAUGCCAAUCUAAUGAUGCCCCACCAAAAAUAGCUACUAAAAAGCACUUCAAUUACAUCUCCGUUUGCACAUUCUCCUUGCCAUACUAAAAGGGUAAAUUGGUCAUUGAAAAUCCCCUUUGAUUCAGAGUAGAAACGACAUUUUAAUUGCGUCAUAAUCCAUCUGUUGUGGCCUAAUGAAAUCCACAUUAUUCUUAUUCAAAUUAAUUAUGUCUUAUUAAGACUUAGAAGUCCAUAGCAAAGCAUUCGGCAUUCAGUUGCUUUCAAGACACAAACCACUAAUGCUUGAGCACAAUCCAUGGGAUCGUCACCAUCUACAACUAAUGCCACAGAAAUUACAACAGCCUUGGAUCAGAUUGAGGAUACGACACGACACCGUAGCUGCAAACUACAAUAUCUAGCAUCUUAAACAAGCAGUAGCGCCACUAGAAGUUUAGGAAAACAGCAGGAGAUGGUGGAAUGUAUUCAAAGUGCUGCCAGUCAACCAUAUCCAUGUGUACUCGCGUCAAUGAUCAUAGAAUUACAACAAUAUCGAUAAAUCUCCCCCUCGUUUCUAACUCCUUUGGGGUAGGAAUCACUCGACGAAAAGCUAUUUGAUGAAUAAUAGAUUUACAAGCAAAUCAAAUUCCUAAAUAUACAUCAAUUGAAUCCAUCUGCAGAUCAACCCGAAUAGUAUAAUACCAGGGGAAUCGUUGGUAGAAUGUAUUCAAAGUGAUCAAUGAUAAUACUAUGAAAACCAUCAGAAUCUGUCAAUUAAGAUGAAUUGACCAUUCUCGGUAGAAUAGUCAAGCAGUUCCAAUGACGCGAAUAUGGAAUGGGGGACCUCGACAGAAUAUUGGCUCAUCAACUGAAUCAGUUUUGGCACGGGUUCUGAGGACAUCAUUAGCUUCUUCAAUCACAGCAGCAGCCACUAGAGUAUACUCACCAGGGACGAGAAAAUGCAACGAGAAAGAAUGCUUAGAUUCUUGAAGGGGGGGAACCUCCAUAGCUAUCCCAUUCAAAACACCUACAAUAAAUUAGAGCACGCCAGAGUUGCAUAUUAACAAUUUCAAUUGCAUAAAUAUGCAAUAGCAAGUUGUUUUCCAGCCUUGUGAGUGACAACAGAUCAUACAAACAGUGCUGCUUGAAAAACAAAACAAAAUAAAAGUACUAGCAUCCAGAGCCAAACACUUAAUCCCAUAAAAGUAUCUGGAUAAAGGAAUAAAAAUGAAAUCUUACCAGCCCAUAGGACAGUGGCCUUUGUACCCUCGAAGCAAUUUUCUCCAGCCACAUCCCUGCAUGUAAUGCUAAGACUCAUCCUAAUGAUUUCCUUGGUGUUGUUGCGAACUAUGACCUCCAUUGGGGUCAUGUCAUAAGCCAUCACAGAACCUUCAUGCCCAGAGUCAUCGGGCAUAUCAGAUUCUUGUGGGACACUAUUUCUAACAAGCCUGAAGCUAAAUGUCAAUGGAUCUGGUAGCAAUACAUCCACAACAGAUGUCUGAAGCGCUGCCUGUAUGGCAUCCUUCAUAUUCAGUUCUCCAGAGCUGUUUCGUCCUGAUUGCCACCUCACCUUUAUCCUGGAAAUGAGGUUCUUAAUUGAAGCAUUUAAUUCAGCCUUGGCAUUCUUUUCUGAGAAGCUCGAAUUUCUGCCAACACCAUCAGGCUGAAAAUCCUUCAUGAAAAAGGAACCAUCAAGAAUGGGCAACUUAAAAUGCUCCAGAGGUAUUAAUACCCUCGCAGAAUGAUCCCUAUCAAUUCUUGUUUUUGGACAACAAUAUUCAGUAGCAUCUUGAACAGCAGAAAGGUUAUCCAACUUAUCUUCGCAGCUGUCAAGCUGGACAGAAACGCUAAUUUCAAACACAACAUCAGUUGGAUUAGACAAUUCUAAUUCAAGAAAACGUAGCCCCCAACUUCCUCUGAAAGGAUCAAUUUUUAGCAAUCCAUCCAUCUUACUUUUUGAACCAACAGCUUCUUUGCUACCAUUAGUCUCAACAUGAACUGGUUCUGGAAGAUUUAGGCCAACAUGUGCAGGAAUUUCCAUUGAAAGCAAGCAAGCUUUCACAAAAGACAAACCUUGCAAAACACAAAUGUGUAAGGGAACCACCAGGCGUCUACCAGGAGGAAAAACAGAUUCUUUUGUUGGAGGAUCUCCAGAAUCUGUCAAUGGCCCAGCAUAAUGAAUCAACAAUGUGGGGCUGCUACCAUCCUUUAACUGCCUCCCCAUACUUCCAGAGGCAAGCUUACCACCAGUAAUAUCAGGGUCUACUGGUCCAUGCUGCCAGGCUUUCAAUGUCACAGGUAGGAUCACUUCUGCACCAGGCUUCAAAGGAAGGGCAGAUUUUAAGGUUUCAUAUGGUAUUGAGACAACAGAAUCUUGGUUUUUACCAGAGAGUGAUAUAUGUGCUUGUUCAACUGGAACUAUCCCUGCAUUAGCCAGACUAAUCCAGACAUCACGUAUUUCACCUUCAUAUAAAACUAUUGAACCAUCACCACCUACAACAUGAGAAACUAAUAAUGGAAUUGGAGGUACAACAGAAAUAUUUGGAACCAACACAUUUCUCAGCCUUGGAGACCCACAACAUCUGAAAGGAUCAGAAAGCACAAGCCCUUGUGCUGCACCAAGAAGCAGAUUAUCAACAUCCCCGAAAAGGUGUUCAGAAAUAACACCAAAACAGUGAACAGUACACCCUGGAAUUGUUACUGACCCCACAGAAGUCGGGAUUCCAGAUAAGGUUAUCACCUUUGAUGAAUUAGGCAGAAGAUCUACACUAACAGGAAAAGCAUCAAAAUUUCCUGAAUGAACAGAUAGGUAUAUACUAUCAACCCUUAAAUCAAAGCCACAUGGAUUUGCCAACUCCACUAAGACCUGGACUGGUUCGCCAACAAUCCAUAUCAGCUCCUGCUUGCUGCUGUCAUUUGGCUCCCCUUUGCUGAAUGGUGUGUAUAUAAAAGGCCCUGAAGGAGCAGAUCCAGCCCACCAGUCUUCUCUUGCUGGAUUGCGUUUUACAAUGUCCAUUUGACAGGGAUAGGGAGGAAAGGAAUAUAACCUUACGAAAGGUAAGGCUGGAUCAGCACAGCGAGUUCCGGAAGGCAACCUCUGGGCUGACUUAGUAAGUGCACUAGCAAGGCCAUUCUGCCCAGCUGGUGUGAUUAAAGGAUAAUAAGAUCUUAGUAACCGUGCAGCAGCACUCCAUGCAGCAAGGGGAUCUCCUGAACGAACAGCAGCCAGCAGUAUCUCCCUCAGUACAACCAUCUGCAGUGUGCUCCACUGAGACUCAAAUAAAGAAACUACUGAUUGGUGAUGCAUUUUCCCACUAUCAGCAUGGCUUGAUUCAAUCUCCUUACUUGAAUGAGGAUAAUUGGAGAAGGACGCUCUACUCUGAACACGAUAUGCUUUGGUGGUCAUUGCCAAAACUUGCAUAGCACUCAUAGCCGCCAAUCUAUUUUCUUGUUGCAUAUACAACUGGACUACCUGCCUUGAGAAAAAGGCAGCUUUCCUCUGAUAACCAAGAGACCCAAAUAAGCGAGCUAUUUCAACAUACAAUAUGAGUCUAUCACUGGCAUCUAUCAAGGAUUUCGCACCAUCUGCAGCACUGGUUAGCAACUCCACAACAUCUUUAGUGAAUCCUCUUCUACAAAGAAAUCUUGCCAAUUUCAGAGUAGCUUCAAGUUCAAAGCUUAAAGGUGAAACUCUUUGAGCAUUGUCUGGUGUAAAUGACUUUUUGUAAUGCGAUAUCACACUAAUGUACCGAUACCUGACCUCAUCCUCAAAAACUGCAUCUUUUUGGCCCAUUUGGUCUAUCUGAUAGCAGGCAAAAUGAAUAGGUAAGUAAUUGCAUAAGCCUGUGGUAUGUCAAUAAAGAACUUAUUCAAUUUCAGCCACAUUUCAGCAGUUCAUACAGUAGUGGUGUUAUUCAAUCAAGAUUACUAUGGGAACCACAUUCUACAUAUCUCACAUCGUAUUGAAACAGAGUUCACACACAUCACAUUUUACAACUAAUAAAUGUUUUUAUUACCCUUCAAAUGCCAAGACGCCAUUCCAUAUGAAUUGAAUUCAUUGGUUCAUUGACAAAUUUAUUAACCUCACAAAUAAACAUAUCAAAAAAAUGGUACAAGAUUUCACAUAUGAUAAAUAAUAUUUGAGCUCAAAAAGCACGCAUACCAGUAGGGCACAAACGGUACCCUCCAAAGCCCCAGCAUACCAGAAGAAAUCCGCAGUCAAUCUAGCUAAUUCUAAGGCAGUGGAAUAGUGAGCAUUGGCAUCAACAGGUGACCCCGCCAACAAACAGUAAUCCCCAAUUGUUUUCUGUGCACGGGCCAGUCUUCUUUUUUUGGCCUUGAUCACCUCCUCUGAGCUUAGACUGGCUUGAGAAUCCAAAGGCGUCUUGAGAAUAGUUCCAGCAGAUUCCGCCUGUAGAACGCACUUUUCGAAUUCCAUUAGCAACGAAGCCGCAAUAUCUUGCAUCAUCGUUUGCAAAUGGAUCUCCACCGUUUGGCGAUCCGCCCGAGGAAAAAAUCUCAGAUUCUCGCCUUUCUUACCACCAUCCUCCAGCUGAGAAUCACAGGGGCAGAAAGCGAAACACAGCUUCACAAGCGCAGAGGAGUAACUUUUACACGCGACACUGAAUUGAUCGACGACGAAAUCGAGAUCAGGCGAGGAUGGACAGUGGCAGAAACCGAUGACAGCGAGGAUCUUGCGAUUGGACUGGAAAUCCUCCCAGGGGCUGGGCGGGGAGCCUCCGAGUACGAAUUUGAAACGGAGGGAGCCGUUGUCCCAUGGCUGAUUAGCAAAGGGGGAUUUCUGGUGCUCAGUGUAGAAGGAACUGAUGGCAGAGAGAGGGAUGGUGUGGUGACGCAGGAACAUGGAGUAGUAGUCGCGCAGGAUGUUGGGCGGGACCAGACCGAUUGGGAGGACAGCGAUGCGGAUCAUGCAGGAGGUCUCGAUGCUUACAUCGGGCUCCAUCUCGCUAUCAGACUGUGAAAGAAGAGGAUUUCACGGAUUGUUUAACAGUGGAAAUGGAGCAAAGAGAAGCAGAUUGGGUGAAGUGAAAGAGGAGACAGUAAGACGAGGUCGUUUAAGGUGUUUUUUGUUCCAAAGUUCCGGUGGUCACGGUUGGGAAUCGGAUUUGCGGGUCACCCAAUUCUGUUUUGGUAGGAA
Molecule: unclassified non-coding RNA, 5350 nt
Filed under: Hevea brasiliensis (rubber tree)
Lineage: Eukaryota; Viridiplantae; Streptophyta; Magnoliopsida; Malpighiales; Euphorbiaceae
Source: RNAcentral